RNAcentral lists this ribosomal RNA (342 nucleotides) under Ayacucho titschacki. RNAcentral's name for it is "partial large subunit ribosomal RNA". The stretch from base 213 to 342 matches the Rfam family "Bacterial large subunit ribosomal RNA", at positions 2473 to 2603 of the family's 2925-position model. Lineage: Eukaryota; Metazoa; Arthropoda; Arachnida; Opiliones; Metasarcidae. The record is from RNAcentral.
UUUUUUAAUUGAGGACUGGAAUGAAGGGUAGAUACUAAAAGGAAAGUUUUAUUAGAUAAUUUUGAAUUUAGAUUAAAAGUAAAAAUUCUUUUAUAAAUCUUUGGGACGAGAAGACCCUAGAAGCUUAAAAUUUUUAGAAGUUUUUAAUUGGGGCAAUUAUUAAAGAUAUAAAUUUUUAAUUAUUAUAUUUAAGAUUUAAUAGUUACUCUAGGGAUAACAGCGUUAUUUAAUUAGCAAGUUCUUAUUAAUAAUUAGGUUUGCGACCUCGAUGUUGAAUUAAAUUGUAUUUUGGGUGUAGAAGCUCAAAUAAUUAGUCUGUUCGACUAUUAGUAAUUUACGUGA